RNAcentral lists this transfer RNA (73 nucleotides) under Saprospiraceae bacterium. Its description in RNAcentral is "tRNA-Trp". It matches the Rfam family "tRNA". From Rfam's summary of the family: Transfer RNA (tRNA) molecules are approximately 80 nucleotides in length. Their secondary structure includes four short double-helical elements and three loops (D, anti-codon, and T loops). The record is from RNAcentral. Lineage: Bacteria; Pseudomonadati; Bacteroidota; Saprospiria; Saprospirales; Saprospiraceae.
AGGGGAGUAGCUCAGUUGGUAGAGCGGCGGUCUCCAAAACCGUAGGUCGCAGGUUCGAGACCUGUCUCCCCUG